This 497-nucleotide ribosomal RNA is filed under the name uncultured bacterium. Its description in RNAcentral is "partial 16S ribosomal RNA". It matches the Rfam family "Bacterial small subunit ribosomal RNA", at positions 28 to 507 of the family's 1533-position model. The record is from RNAcentral.
GAUGAACGCUGGCGGCGUGCCUAAUACAUGCAAGUCGAGCGAACAGACGAGGAGCUUGCUCCUCUGACGUUAGCGGCGGACGGGUGAGUAACACGUGGAUAACCUACCUAUAAGACUGGGAUAACUUCGGGAAACCGGAGCUAAUACCGGAUAAUAUAUUGAACCGCAUGGUUCAUUAGUGAAAGAGGUUUUUGCUGUCCCUUAUAGAUGGAUCCGCGCCGCAUUAGCUAGUUGGUAAGGUAACGGCUUACCAAGGCGACGAUGCGUAGCCGACCUGAGAGGAUGAUCGGCCACACUGGAACUGAGACACGGUCCAGACUCCUACGGGAGGCAGCAGUAGGGAAUCUUCCGCAAUGGGCGAAAGCCUGACGGAGCAACGCCGCGUGAGUGAUGAAGGUCUUCGGAUCGUAAAACUCUGUUAUUAGGGAAGAACAAAGGUGUAAGUAACUAUGCACGUCUUGACGGUACCUAAUCAGAAAGCCACGGCUAACUACGUG